AACCUGCCUCAUACAGAGGGAUAAUCAUGUGAAAACGUGACUAAUACCGCAUGUCAUUACUGGAGGGCAUCCUCCGGUAAGAAAAGGAGCAAUCCGGUAUGAGAUGGGCCCGCACCUGAUUAGCUAGUUGGUGAGAUAACAGCCCACCAAGGCGACGAUCAGUAGCCGACCUGAGAGGGUGAUCGGCCACAUUGGGACUGAGACACGGCCCAA
This 213-nucleotide ribosomal RNA is filed under the name uncultured bacterium. RNAcentral describes it as "partial 16S ribosomal RNA". It matches the Rfam family "Bacterial small subunit ribosomal RNA", at positions 123 to 334 of the family's 1533-position model. The record is from RNAcentral.